AACGAACGCUGGCGGCAUGCCUAACACAUGCAAGUCGAACGAGACCUUCGGGUCUAGUGGCGCACGGGUGCGUAACGCGUGGGAACCUGCCCUUAGGUUCGGAAGAACUCCCCGAAAGGGGUGCUAAUACCGGAUAAUGUCUUCGGACCAAAGAUUUAUCGCCUUUGGAUGGGCCCGCGUUGGAUUAGCUAGUUGGUAGGGUAAAAGCCUACCAAGGCGACGAUCCAUAGCUGGUCUGAGAGGAUGAUCAGCCACACUGGGACUGAGACACGGCCCAGACUCCUACGGGAGGCAGCAGUGGGGAAUAUUGGACAAUGGGCGAAAGCCUGAUCCAGCAAUGCCGCGUGAGUGAUGAAGGCCUUAGGGUUGUAAAGCUCUUUUACCCGGGACGAUAAUGACAGUACCGGGAGAAUAAGCUCCGGCUAACUCCGUG
RNAcentral lists this ribosomal RNA (433 nucleotides) under uncultured bacterium. Its description in RNAcentral is "partial 16S ribosomal RNA". It matches the Rfam family "Bacterial small subunit ribosomal RNA", at positions 29 to 507 of the family's 1533-position model. The record is from RNAcentral.